UAGCGGCAGGCCUAAACAUGCAAGUCGAGGGGUAACAGGGAAAAGCUUGCUUUUCCGCUGACGACCGGCGCACGGGUGCGUAACGCGUAUGCAACCUACCUUUUACAGGAGUAUAGCCCAGAGAAAUUUCGAUUAAUCCUCCAUAAUAUCUUAAUCAUGCAUAUGAUAAAGAUUAAAGCUUCGGUGGUAAAAGAUGGGCAUGCGUUUUAUUCGCUAGUAGGUGAGGUAACGGCUCACCUAGGCCACGAUAAAUAGGGGCCCUGAGAGGGGGAUCCCCCACACUGGUACUGAGACACGGACCAGACUCCUACGGGAGGCAGCAGUGAGGAAUAUUGGACAAUGGACGAAAGUCUGAUCCAGCCAUGCCGCGUGCAGGAUGACGGCCCUAUGGGUUGUAAACUGCUUUUAUACAGGAAGAAACACUCCCACGUGUGGGGGCUUGACGGUACUGUACGAAUAAGGAUCGGCUAACUCCGUGCCAGCAGCCGCGGUAAUACGGAGGAUCCAAGCGUUAUCCGGAAUUAUUGGGUUUAAAGGGUCCGCAGGCGGUCUAUUAAGUCAGAGGUGAAAUCUUGCAGCUCAACUGUAAAAUUGCCUUUGAUACUGGUAGACUUGAGUCAUUGUGAAGUGGUUAGAAUGUGUAGUGUAGCGGUGAAAUGCAUAGAUAUCACACAGAAUACCAAUUGCGAAGGCAGAUCACUAACAAUGUACUGACGCUCAUGGACGAAAGCGUGGGGAGCGAACAGGAUUAGAUACCCUGUAGUCCACGCCGUAAACGAUGGAUACUAACUGUUCGUCCCGCUUGCGGGAUGAGUGGUUAAGCGAAAGUGAUAGUAUCCCACCUGGGGGAGUACGCUCGC
RNAcentral lists this ribosomal RNA (860 nucleotides) under uncultured marine bacterium. Its description in RNAcentral is "bacterial SSU rRNA". It matches the Rfam family "Bacterial small subunit ribosomal RNA", at positions 37 to 889 of the family's 1533-position model. The record is from RNAcentral.